Penaeus chinensis is the source of this 72-nucleotide non-coding RNA. Lineage: Eukaryota; Metazoa; Arthropoda; Malacostraca; Decapoda; Penaeidae. The record is from the annotation of a RefSeq genome assembly.
GUCUCUGUGGUGUAACGGUUAGCACGGCCGCCUAUAAAGCGUGAAGUCCGGGUUCGAUUCCCGGUGGAGACA